GUCUGCUUGAAUAUGAAGUCAGUCUCGCCUGCCCACUGGAUACUGAAGGGCCGCGGUAUCUUGACCGUGCAAAGGUAGCAUAAUCAUUAGUCUUUUAAUUGGAGGCUGGUAUGAACGGCUGGACAAGAGUUAGACUGUCUCAAUAAUUAGUUUUGAAUUUAACUUUCAGGUGAAGAGGCCUGAAUAUAUUUCAAAGACGAUAAGACCCUAUAAAACUUUACAUUACUUAGUAAGGACUUAUAUUGUUUGUAUAACAUUUUUUUGCUAUAAUAUGUUUCGUUGGGGCGACGAUAGUAUAAACUUAACUGCUUUUGUUUUAAACAAAUAUAAUUGGGUACAGAUGGUCCUAGCUAUAGAUCUAAGAAAAAGUUACUUUAGGGAUAACAGCGUUAUUUUUUUUGAGAGUCCUUAUCGACAAAAGAGUUUGCGACCUCGAUGUUGAAUUAUAAUACCUCCUGGGGGCAGCAAUCCAGGCGGCAGGUCUGUUCGACCUUUAAAUUUAUACGUGAUUUGAGUUCAGACCGGUGCAAGCCAGGUUGGUUUCUAUC
Molecule: ribosomal RNA, 548 nt
Filed under: Paraxiopsis kensleyi
Lineage: Eukaryota; Metazoa; Arthropoda; Malacostraca; Decapoda; Axiidae
Description: partial large subunit ribosomal RNA
Rfam family: Bacterial large subunit ribosomal RNA
Source: RNAcentral